This 407-nucleotide long non-coding RNA is filed under the name Homo sapiens (human). RNAcentral's name for it is "non-protein coding lnc-EXOC6B-1:1". The record is from RNAcentral. Lineage: Eukaryota; Metazoa; Chordata; Mammalia; Primates; Hominidae.
AGCCACCCCACCUGGCCAACAGUAACUCUUUUAAAAAGAUACAAAUGCCUGAAAGGAGACAGAAGAGAAGACACAGACACAGAGAAAGCCAUGGCCAUGUGAGGAUGGAUACCAAGAUUGGAGUUAUGCAGCUACAAGCCAAGGAACUCCUGGAGUCACCAAAAGCUGGAAGAAGCAAGAAAAAUUCUCCUCUAGGGCCCUUGGAGGGAGGGUAGCCCUGCAGACAUCUUGAGUUCAGCCUUUUUUCUCCAUAAAUGGCAGAGAAUAAAUCUGUGUUGUCACCCAGUUUGUGGUAAUUUGUCCCAGCAUCCCUAGAAAACAUGUAUAUAUAUAUACACACACACAUGCACACAAAUAAACAGCAGCCUUUCUACGUGUUAUACAGGAUGUGUUUUCCCCAAUUUUCC